RNAcentral lists this ribosomal RNA (380 nucleotides) under uncultured cyanobacterium. Its description in RNAcentral is "bacterial SSU rRNA". It matches the Rfam family "Bacterial small subunit ribosomal RNA", at positions 376 to 770 of the family's 1533-position model. Lineage: Bacteria; Bacillati; Cyanobacteriota. The record is from RNAcentral.
CGAAAGCCUGACGGAGCAAGACCGCGUGGGGGAGGAAGGCUCUAGGGUUGUAAACCCCUUUUCUUUGGGAAGAACAAAAUGACGGUACCAAAGGAAUCAGCCUCGGCUAACUCCGUGCCAGCAGCCGCGGUAAUACGGAGGAGGCAAGCGUUAUCCGGAAUGAUUGGGCGUAAAGCGUCCGCAGGUGGCGAUGCAAGUCUGCUGUCAAAACCCAGGGCUCAACUCUGGUCAGGCAGUGGAAACUACAAAGCUAGAGUCUGGUAGGGGCAAAGGGAAUUCCCGGUGUAGCGGUGAAAUGCGUAGAUAUUGGGAAGAACACCAGUGGCGAAGGCGCUCUACUGGGCCACAACUGACGCUGAGGGACGAAAGCUAGGGGAGCG